GGACUGAAAGCAGAGAGUACUGGAUUCAGAGGAAAUGCCUUAAUUGGGAGAUUUGUGUCCUUGUUGUCAGGUCUCACUGGGGAGGCAAGAAGAAGAAAGAUAUGGAUUCCUGACAUUUGUUGAGAGGAUGGUUGGCUUUCUCCUCUUAGAUUUUAGAGUGAGUGUAGAGCUUUUCAGAGCUCUUAAAGGUUCUUAAGUGUAUGAGUAUUUGCUGUUAGGGCAUUUGCAGACCCUGACGAAAAGGAGCCCAGCCAGAGGAGACCAGGAUCGUGAACUGCGGUAGACGAGGCUCGCCCAGCACAGAAAGAUCUAACUCCUUGUGAUAUACCCCAUGGAUAUUCAAACAAUAUGGGGUAUUAUUGGACUAUUAUCAUAAUAUGGAUAUUUUAGAUCACAUAAUUUGGGUUGAUGCUGUGUUAUUUUAGACUCCUAAAAUUGCUUUUAAAAAUGUAUAGAUAUAGCACAUGAAAAAUUGAAGAGGAAAAUGACUCCUUAUAAUACAAAGAUUUUUAUACCAUCAGUUAAUCUCACUAAAGGUUAGGUUGGCAUUUACUAAUAUUUUUUAAAAAUAUGUAAGACUAGGAAAUGUGAAAGGGCUUGCAGGCUAUGGACAUUUUUACCCUAUAUGCAUAUUUUUAAGUGCCUUCUAUGUUGUUGUAGGAGCCGAAGGAAAGCUUUACCUUCAACUUCUGAAGAUGUGUUAAAAGUCACUGACAAGAGUCAAAUUAAUAACAGAAAAGGCAUACAAAUUUAAUUGAUCAUAGUUUUACAUAACACAGGAGCCUUCAGAAUGAAGAUCCAAAGAUACAGAGGAAUUGUACAUUUUAAUGCUUAGGGUCGACAAAAUAUGGACAGCCAUGUACAAAUACGAUUGGGCAAAAAGAGAAUGAUCUACUGCCAAUAGAGUUGGGAAACCCAGCAAGGCCUGUCUGUCUAGACUCCUCUUGGCCUCACUGCGCAGCAUUCGUUCCUCCUUGGUGUGUGGCAGGACCCUCUAUGGAAAGAGGGUGUUAUGACCUACAAUUAAAAAAGACUUGGAGCUAAAGCAGCUGUCAACCUGGAAGUACCAAUGGACACUGACAAAACAAUAAACAAAUCUCCAACAAAAGCCUGUUCUCUCUAGCCAAAAAUCCAAGACAGUCUUGAGAAGACUAGUAAGACAGAAAACUUUUAGACAAUAACAGCUCUACUCCAGCCAGCCACAACAACAAUAACAAAAAAACUGUGGCUCUACCCCACCCAUGGCAAAAGCCAAGUGGGGAAGCCAAGCUUUCCACUCAUGCCUGACUGUGACAAGGCACUCACCCUUCCUUCCAGGGUAACGUCUGGGAAAGCUGAGUAAGGAAUUGGUAGUUUCAUUCUCACUGGGUGGUAAGGAGUCCACCUUACUGUUAGCAGAGUCCACAUGACUUUAGUAGUGUUGGUAGUUGUGGUGGUAUUAUUAGUAGAGGCCAUUUAGGGAGCCAUGACAAGGCACUCAUAUCCAUCGCAGUCAGUGAGUUACCAGCAGACACCUCGUGUGGAGUUGGAAGUCCCAACCCUAGCAGUUGGAGACAGACUCCCUGCUACAACUUGAGAGUCAACAGAGGCCAAAUAAGGAACCUGGAGACCUGGGCAUUUAUCCCACAGAAACGGAACUUAUACCCACCCAAAAGGUUACCCAAAAAUAUGUGUAGUAGUUUUAAUUAUAGUAGUCAGUAACUGGAAACAAUCCAGAUGUCCUUCAAAAAGUGAAUGGUUAAGCAAACUGUGGUACUUCCAUUUCUUGGGAAAUUACUCAGUAAUUUAAAAAAAAUUGUUAAUGCAACAACCUAGAUGACUAUUCAGAGAUUUGUGCUGAGUGAAAAAAGCAAUCCCAAAAGGUUGUAUCUUGUAAUUCCAUUUAUGUAUUUUUCCUGAAAUGACAAAACUGCAGAAAUGUAGAACAAAUUAGUGGCUGCCAGGUGUUAAGGAGAAGGUGAAGAUAAGAGAAAAAUGUGUGCAGCUAUAAAAGUGCAACAUGAGGGAUCCUUGUGGUAGUGAAACUAUUCGGUAUCUUGCUUAUAUCAAUGUCAGCAUGUUACUUGUGAUUUUGUGGUGUUUGAUUUUUUUGGCGUUGUUAUAGUUUUUCCAUUGGUGGAUAUUGGGUGAAUAGCCCAUGAGAUAUAUCUGUAUUAUUUCUUCCAACUGCAUGUG
RNAcentral lists this long non-coding RNA (2175 nucleotides) under Homo sapiens (human). Its description in RNAcentral is "novel transcript". Lineage: Eukaryota; Metazoa; Chordata; Mammalia; Primates; Hominidae. The record is from RNAcentral.